UAUUAGAAUUUGUAUGUGUUUUUAUAUCCUUGAAAAUCAGAUUAUCUAUUAAGAUAGAAUACAAAUGAAAUGAAAUAUAAAAAAUUUUCUCUCUCUAUGAGAGACCUUCCCUCGCAUGGGGGUCUUCUUCUCAAUUUUUCUACGGCUUCUUCUUCCACCAUUGGCUUGGAGGGCUUCAUCCAUCGUUCAUAUGCUCGCUAAUAAUCGGAGUUCCGGCGCUGAUGGGUCGGGCGGCCGCGCUGUUGGUGGUCACGCUCGCAUAGGGUGGACUUGUGCCCUCUCUUGUCGUUGGGACAGAUGGAUUCGGACUAGGAGAAGUUGGAGUGGGCCUCAGUGCACAGGAGCAACAACGACGGUAGCAGGUCUGACAGGGGGUGACGUGGCCCGCUUUCAUUGGGGCUACGUGUCGCACAUAUAGAGGGUACCGUACAAGUAUAAAUACCCUCAUUUAUGAUAUUUCAAAUACGUUUUCAGUACUUUACUUUUACCGCCAUAUUCACGCUCUAAUUCGAUCUCAUUUUCGACCCCACCUUUUCUAACUUAAGCAUCGGAGGCCAUCGCCGAGGGCUUCUCGGCUAGUCUUACGUUUGCUGUGUUCUCAGGAUCCACUUCAGGUAACUUGAAAGAAGGAUUCAGCGAUCACGACCCAGCGACCCCGAUCCGGGAAUCCUAAAUUUUGAGCGACCUACAUCAGUGCUCGAUAUCACACAACACACAACUCGUAUGAUACCCCCAUCAUUACUGAUACCACACACCAUACAACUCGUAUGAUAUCCCAUCAUCAAUCAUAUCAUACAACACACUGCUUGUAUGAUAUGUCACAUUAUCUCUACUGAUUAAUGACAGCACACAUCUCGUCAUUAAUCUAUCAUUAUAAGCUAUUGUAGUAUGCUCCCUCCCAAUUAGGUAAGUCAUCUCUUAUUUUAAUUCGCAAUAUCAACAUCAUUAACUUCAUCAUGCAAUUUCAUGUAAUAAUUAU
Molecule: non-coding RNA, 979 nt
Organism: Sesamum indicum (sesame)
Lineage: Eukaryota; Viridiplantae; Streptophyta; Magnoliopsida; Lamiales; Pedaliaceae
Source: RefSeq, a predicted model, not a curated record